GCCGGGCGUGGUGGCGCACACCUGUAAUCCCAGCGGCUUGGGAGGCUGAGAUAGGAAGAUCGUGAGUUCAAAGCCAGCCUAGGCAAUUUAGUGAGACCCUGUCUCUA
RNAcentral lists this small RNA (107 nucleotides) under Marmota monax (woodchuck). The record is from RNAcentral. Lineage: Eukaryota; Metazoa; Chordata; Mammalia; Rodentia; Sciuridae.